GCCCUAGUAGCUUAGCUUAAAAGCAUCGGUCUUGUAAACCGAGAUCGGAGGUUAGACCCCUCCCUAGCGCC
This 71-nucleotide transfer RNA is filed under the name Barilius malabaricus. Its description in RNAcentral is "tRNA-Thr". It matches the Rfam family "tRNA". From Rfam's summary of the family: Transfer RNA (tRNA) molecules are approximately 80 nucleotides in length. Lineage: Eukaryota; Metazoa; Chordata; Actinopteri; Cypriniformes; Danionidae. The record is from RNAcentral.